RNAcentral lists this non-coding RNA (24 nucleotides) under Gossypium hirsutum (cotton). Lineage: Eukaryota; Viridiplantae; Streptophyta; Magnoliopsida; Malvales; Malvaceae. The record is from RNAcentral.
AUCGUUUCGAGAUGAGUCAAACUA